UACGGAGGGUGCAAGCGUUAAUCGGAAUUACUGGGCGUAAAGCGCGCGUAGGUGGUUUGAUAAGCGAGAUGUGAAAGCCCGGGCUUAACCUGGGAACGGCAUUUCGAACUGUCAGGCUAGAGUAUGGUAGAGGGUAGUGGAAUUUCCUGUGAUAGCGGUGAAAUGCGUAGAUAUAGGAAAGGAACGACCAGUGGCGGAAGGCG
RNAcentral lists this ribosomal RNA (203 nucleotides) under uncultured bacterium. RNAcentral describes it as "partial 16S ribosomal RNA". It matches the Rfam family "Bacterial small subunit ribosomal RNA", at positions 524 to 723 of the family's 1533-position model. The record is from RNAcentral.